This 402-nucleotide ribosomal RNA is filed under the name uncultured bacterium. RNAcentral's name for it is "bacterial SSU rRNA". It matches the Rfam family "Bacterial small subunit ribosomal RNA", at positions 355 to 774 of the family's 1533-position model. The record is from RNAcentral.
UGGGGAAUAUUGGACAAUGGGGGAAACCCUGAUCCAGCAAUGCCGCGUGAGUGAAGAAGGCCUUAGGGUUGUAAAGCUCUUUCGCCCGCGAAGAUGAUGACGGUAGCGGGAGAAGAAGCCCCGGCUAACUCCGUGCCAGCAGCCGCGGUAAUACGGAGGGGGCUAGCGUUGUUCGGAAUUACUGGGCGUAAAGCGUACGUAGGCGGAUGCGCAAGUUGGGGGUGAAAUCCCGGGGCUUAACCUCGGAAUUGCCCUCAAAACUGCACGUCUUGAGACCGAGAGAGGUAAGGGGAAUUCCUAGUGUAGAGGUGAAAUUCGUAGAUAUUAGGAAGAACACCAGUGGCGAAGGCGCCUUACUGGCUCGGUACUGACGCUGAGGUACGAAAGCGUGGGGAGCAAACA